UUACAGAAACUUCUGGAAGAGCAUGACAUUGUGAAUGGAUUAAUGGAAUUCAUUUACCAAAAAAUUUAAAUAUUGCAUGAAUAUACUGCCUCACACUACAUAAUUAAAAACUAAUCCUUAUUUCAAGAUGAAUAACCUUUGGUCUAUAAAAGUAAAGG
Long non-coding RNA from Varanus komodoensis (Komodo dragon), 158 nucleotides. RefSeq lists it as uncharacterized. NCBI's taxonomy places the organism in Eukaryota, Metazoa, Chordata, Lepidosauria, Squamata, Varanidae. The transcript has 3 exons. The record is from RefSeq and is a predicted model, not a curated record.